This 2010-nucleotide ribosomal RNA is filed under the name human gut metagenome. RNAcentral describes it as "bacterial LSU rRNA". It matches the Rfam family "Bacterial large subunit ribosomal RNA", at positions 3 to 2012 of the family's 2925-position model. The record is from RNAcentral.
UUAAGUUAUUAAGGGCGCACGGUGGAUGCCUUGGCACUAGAAGCCGAUGAAGGACGUUACUAACGACGAUAUGCUUUGGGUAGCUGUAAGUAAGCGUUGAUCCAGAGAUUUCCGAAUGGGGGAACCCAGCAUGAGUUAUGUCAUGUUAUCGACAUGUGAAUUCAUAGCAUGUCAGAAGGCAGACCCGGAGAACUGAAACAUCUUAGUACCCGGAGGAAGAGAAAGAAAAUUCGAUUCCCUGAGUAGCGGCGAGCGAAACGGGAAGAGCCCAAACCAAUAAGCUUGCUUAUUGGGGUUGUAGGACACUCUAUACGGAGUUACAAAGGAAUAUAUUAAACGAAUCAUCUGGAAAGUUGAAUCAAAGAAGGUAAUAAUCCUGUAGUUGAAAAUAUAUUCUCUCUUGAGUGGAUCCUGAGUACGACGGAGCACGUGAAAUUCCGUCGGAAUCUGGGAGGACCAUCUCCUAAGGCUAAAUACUCUCUAGUGACCGAUAGUGAACCAGUACCGUGAGGGAAAGGUGAAAAGUACCCCGGAAGGGGAGUGAAAGAGAACUUGAAACCGUGUGCUUACAAGUAGUCAGAGCCCGUUAAUGGGUGAUGGCGUGCCUUUUGUAGAAUGAACCGGCGAGUUACGAUCUGAUGCAAGGUUAAGCAGCAAAUGUGGAGCCGCAGCGAAAGCGAGUCUGAAUAGGGCGUUGAGUAUUUGGUCGUAGACCCGAAACCAGGUGAUCUACCCUUGGUCAGGUUGAAGUUCAGGUAACACUGAAUGGAGGACCGAACCGACUUACGUUGAAAAGUGAGCGGAUGAACUGUGGGUAGCGGAGAAAUUCCAAUCGAACUUGGAGAUAGCUGGUUCUCUCCGAAAUAGCUUUAGGGCUAGCCUCAAGUGAUGAUUAUUGGAGGUAGAGCACUGUUUGGACGAGGGGCCCCUCUCGGGUUACCGAAUUCAGACAAACUCCGAAUGCCAAUUAAUUUAACUUGGGAGUCAGAACAUGGGUGAUAAGGUCCGUGUUCGAAAGGGAAACAGCCCAGACCACCAGCUAAGGUCCCAAAAUAUAUGUUAAGUGGAAAAGGAUGUGGCGUUGCCCAGACAACUAGGAUGUUGGCUUAGAAGCAGCCAUCAUUUAAAGAGUGCGUAAUAGCUCACUAGUCGAGGGACACUGCGCCGAAAAUGUACCGGGGCUAAACAUAUUACCGAAGCUGUGGAUUGUCCUUUGGACAAUGGUAGGAGAGCGUUCUAAGGGCGUCGAAGCAUGAUCGCAAGGACAUGUGGAGCGCUUAGAAGUGAGAAUGCCGGUGUGAGUAGCGAAAGACGGGUGAGAAUCCCGUCCACCGAUUGACUAAGGUUUCCAGAGGAAGGCUCGUCCGCUCUGGGUUAGUCGGGUCCUAAGCUGAGGCCGACAGGCGUAGGCGAUGGAUAACAGGUUGAUAUUCCUGUACCACCUAGUAUCGUUUUAAUCGAUGGGGGGACGCAGUAGGAUAGGCGAAGCGUGCUGUUGGAGUGCACGUCCAAGCAGUAAGGCUGAGUGUUAGGCAAAUCCGGCACUCAUAAGGCUGAGCUGUGAUGGGGAGAGGAAAUUGUUUCCUCGAGUCGUUGAUUUCACACUGCCGAGAAAAGCCUCUAGAUAGAUAACAGGUGCCCGUACCGCAAACCGACACAGGUAGUCAAGAUGAGAAUUCUAAGGUGAGCGAGCGAACUCUCGUUAAGGAACUCGGCAAAAUGACCCCGUAACUUCGGGAGAAGGGGUGCUCUUUAGGGUUCACGCCCAGAAGAGCCGCAGUGAAUAGGCCCAAGCGACUGUUUAUCAAAAACACAGGUCUCUGCUAAACCGUAAGGUGAUGUAUAGGGGCUGACGCCUGCCCGGUGCUGGAAGGUUAAGAGGAGUGGUUAGCUUCUGCGAAGCUACGAAUCGAAGCCCCAGUAAACGGCGGCCGUAACUAUAACGGUCCUAAGGUAGCGAAAUUCCUUGUCGGGUAAGUUCCGACCCGCACGAAAGGCGUAACGAUUUGG